This is a long non-coding RNA of Prinia subflava (tawny-flanked prinia), 650 nucleotides long. RefSeq lists it as uncharacterized. The record is from RefSeq and is a predicted model, not a curated record. The transcript is spliced from 3 exons. Lineage: Eukaryota; Metazoa; Chordata; Aves; Passeriformes; Cisticolidae.
ACUACUUCUCUGUCAUCUUUAGCUGAGGAGGGAAAGGGAUGACUGCUGUAUCCACAGGCUGGCUUCAAAAUCCAAAGGAAACAACAGAGGUAGGGAACUAGGCCUGCUGCAGAAGGUAUAUUCCCUUGCCACAUUCACCAAAGCAGGGAGAGCAAUGGCAGAUGGUGGGAAAAUCUUCAUUAAAAAGAGCAAAAUGCCUCACCUCUACCCAAAGGCUGCUAUACACUGACAAGAGACAAAGAGAUCAUAUUAAUUCAAUCAGCUUGCAUUAAUUACACAACAAAUGGCCCUCCAGCACUGAGAAUUGCACAGCACACAAAAGGAAGAUCUACAGCUGCUGUUCACAGGGGGCUGAGACACCCUGAAGUUGUGGGCAAGAAGGCUUGGGUGGAUUUUAACCUACUCCUCAUUGAAAUAGCUGUUAUUUCCUCAAGCCUGCUGUCUUCUGCUUAACACCUGAGAAUCCUUGUCAUAGGAUACUGAAAGACAAAACCUCACUUCAAUGCUAUGAAGAAAACCAGGUAACCCAGAGGAGAAACACAUUCAAUGCAACCUCCCAACAGCACAUGCAGGAGAAAACAGGAAAAGAACAUUUUUCUAAGAAUAACUCACCAUUUUCAGACUUCUGCAGGGAGUACUUGUACUCGACA